This 373-nucleotide ribosomal RNA is filed under the name uncultured bacterium. RNAcentral's name for it is "bacterial SSU rRNA". It matches the Rfam family "Bacterial small subunit ribosomal RNA", at positions 525 to 896 of the family's 1533-position model. The record is from RNAcentral.
ACGGGGGGGGCAAGCGUUGUUCGGAAUUACUGGGCGUAAAGGGCUCGUAGGCGGCCAACUAAGUCAGACGUGAAAUCCCUCGGCUUAACCGGGGAACUGCGUCUGAUACUGGAUGGCUUGAGGUUGGGAGAGGGAUGCGGAAUUCCAGGUGUAGCGGUGAAAUGCGUAGAUAUCUGGAGGAACACCGGUGGCGAAGGCGGCAUCCUGGACCAAUUCUGACGCUGAGGAGCGAAAGCCAGGGGAGCAAACGGGAUUAGAUACCCCGGUAGUCCUGGCCCUAAACGAUGAAUGCUUGGUGUGGCGGGUAUCGAUCCCUGCCGUGCCGAAGCUAACGCAUUAAGCAUUCCGCCUGGGGAGUACGGUCGCAAGGCUG